GCCGACGUAGCACAACUGGUAGUGCAACUGACUUGUAAUCAGUAGGUUGGGGGUUCAAGUCCCUCCGUCGGCA
RNAcentral lists this transfer RNA (73 nucleotides) under Sulfurivirga caldicuralii. It matches the Rfam family "tRNA". From Rfam's summary of the family: Transfer RNA (tRNA) molecules are approximately 80 nucleotides in length. Their secondary structure includes four short double-helical elements and three loops (D, anti-codon, and T loops). The record is from Rfam by way of RNAcentral. Lineage: Bacteria; Pseudomonadati; Pseudomonadota; Gammaproteobacteria; Thiotrichales; Piscirickettsiaceae.